Long non-coding RNA from Maniola jurtina (meadow brown), 203 nucleotides. RefSeq lists it as uncharacterized. The record is from RefSeq and is a predicted model, not a curated record. NCBI's taxonomy places the organism in Eukaryota, Metazoa, Arthropoda, Insecta, Lepidoptera, Nymphalidae. The transcript is spliced from 2 exons.
UGAGUAAUUUUUGGAAAUCGUUUUAAAUUAUUAUUCUUUAUUACAUAAUAAGCACACUACACUGAUAUUUUUCGGAAGAUCUACUGUAUUAGGAAUUAUUAAAUCAAUGAUAAAGUUUAAGUUUUCAAGACCGCGCCAAAAACGACAUUUCUGUAAUGGCGCUGGUCACAUGACACGUGUGACGUCACACGCUAGUAAACAAG